AAAUUAAUCUCCCCGUGAAGAAGCGGGGAUACUCAUAUAAGACGAGAAGACCCCAUGGAGCUUCAAACCCAACUACACCCCUAGCUCUUAUAGCCCCACAACCCCCCUAGGCGCCGUGUGCUUGGUUUUAGGUUGGGGCGACCGCGGAGUACAAUAAAACCUCCACAAUGAAUGGGAACACCCCCUUAUCUGAGGGCCACACCCCCUAAGAAUUAGAACACUAACAUAAAAUGAUCCAUUACUUGAUCAAUGAACCAAGUUACCCUGGGGAUAACAGCGCAAUCCAUUUCAAGAGCCCCUAUCGACAAAUGGGUUUACGACCUCGAUGUUGGAUCAGGGUACCCCAGUGGUGCAGCAGCUACUAACGGUUCGUUUGUUCAACGAUUAAAACCCU
This 394-nucleotide ribosomal RNA is filed under the name Mantidactylus melanopleura. RNAcentral describes it as "partial 16S ribosomal RNA". It matches the Rfam family "Bacterial large subunit ribosomal RNA", at positions 2039 to 2597 of the family's 2925-position model. Lineage: Eukaryota; Metazoa; Chordata; Amphibia; Anura; Mantellidae. The record is from RNAcentral.